GAUGAAGAACGUAGCGAAAUGCGAUAAGUAGUGUGAAUUGCAGAAUUCCGUGAAUCAUCGAAUCUUUGAACGCACAUUGCGCCUCCCGGUAAUCCGUGAGGCAUGCCUGUCCGAGCGUCAGUAAAAAGCAACUCGGCCGCGGCUGGCGGUUGGUGAUGGAGGAAGAGCACGUCUCGUUGUCGGUCUCCCCUCCCAAAAUCAACGGCGGAAUGUCACUGGCACUCGGUGUUGUAGUAUUAUUCGCCGAUCACCCAUUGUUGUUCCUGCCGCCCAAACCCCCACAAUUCUCUUGAUUGACCUCGGAUCAGGUAGGGAUACCCGCUGAACUUAAGCAUAUCAAUAAGCGGAGGA
This 351-nucleotide unclassified non-coding RNA is filed under the name soil metagenome. Its description in RNAcentral is "partial contains 5.8S ribosomal RNA, internal transcribed spacer 2, and large subunit ribosomal RNA". The stretch from base 1 to 120 matches the Rfam family "5.8S ribosomal RNA", at positions 35 to 154 of the family's 154-position model. The record is from RNAcentral.